UCCGUCCCGCCGAUCCACUCCCAUGGCCGCCCCCGACCCGACCUGGAUGAUGCUCGAUCGUUUCGUCUUCCGCAGGGAUGACGCCGAGUCCUUCCUUGACGAGGACGCCGCCCCCUUCACGAUUGAAGGCGACAUCUCACCGGACGGCAUGUUCUCCAUCGCCUUCCGCAUCGCCAAGCCUCCGGUAACCUCCCGCAUGUACCUCAAAUGGAAGUGCGGCCCUAAGGCAUGCCCUGGGUGCAUUCCCGUGGCAGCGCACCGUGGUGUUCUUCUACUCAGGUUCACCCCUGAGCCGGGGAAGCUCGGCUUUGUGGAGCACUUCUUCAUCUGCAGAAGUCGGUAUGACCCGCUUGACAGCUCGCCCUUUGCACUAGAGCGAAUUCCACUCUGCGCCACGAUAUGGCAUGACGAGGACGGGACAGAGAUACCUAUGCGACGGCUGUUUGGGGAUGACACCGUUGGCGUGUUGUCCCGUGAUGAAGAUUUUGCCAUAGCGCAGCUCGUCCUACGCAGGCCCUUGGUGAAGGCUGAUAAGAUGGAAGCGGAUCUGUGCAUGCUCCGAUCCAAGUCAAAUACCGACUAUACAUGGGAGAUUGAGGAGGGGCUUCCUAUCCUUUACGAAGCGGAUGAAAUCUGUGACUUGGAAGCUUGGGGUACCCAUAGAGUCAUCCCCUUCAACGAAUACUUAUGCUGGGUUAACUAUGGUAUAGGAGGUGUCUUAUUCUGCGAGGUAUUCGAAGAAAGGCCCAAGAUUUCUUACCUGAGGCUGCCCAUACAUAACCGCCGCCUAAGGCAACGCCCUGUACUUGACAGAAAGUGCAGCGUGUGCUUGACGAAAGGCUACUUUGGCGCCCAUGAGUUAACGUUUGUUGAUGUUGAUCGCGAGGAUGGUUACCUUGUCGGCCCACUGAGCCCUGAAACUGGUUUUACUAUUGCUUACCAUGUUCUAAGAAAAACAGGCUAUAGUGGCAUGAAGUGGGAUCUGGUCUUUUUCCUCACAUCUGCUGAAUUGUGGGAUCUCAAUAAAUCUCUGCCACUCGAAGUUCUGACGUUUCCACAUGUAAGCAUGGAUGAGCCUAAUGUGGUACACUUUCUAUUGUCUCAGCCAGUGUCACAUCAACUUGUCAAGGUUUCAGUGGUUUCCAUCGACAUGAUUAGACGCAAAGUGCUCGCAGUAGUUCCAUAUAUUGAAGAGAAUGAUAUCCAAGGCAAAGACCCCCAGAUAGUCUCGCAAGCGUCCAGUUAUCUCCAGUCAUUCCUUCCCUCCGAACUUCCGAAGUUCGUUGAUCCCGCCUGGGACAUAUAUUUAUUUGUAAUUCCCUCUUGAUGAUAACAGAAAGCACUUGCUGUUCUAUGAAGAUAGCAUCAACUCAGUACCAUCUAAGAGGUAAGAAAUGGAGAAUAUGAUCAAUGAGAGGAUGAAAUGGGGGGCCUGGAGCCAAACACAUUGCAUGAUAUUUCCCGCAUGAUAUUUCCCACUGGUAUUUCGGCACAAUAUAUGUUCCACGCCUGCUAGUUUUGUACCUUUGUGUUAUAUGGAGCUGUCAGCUUAGUAAUUUGAUGUUGCUUGAGCUGUGAAGAUUAUGUUCAGUCCAUGGGAUUUGUAGUGCGGUACUUAUGAUGUGUGAAGGGUUUGGUUCAGUAGGGCGUGUAGUUCACAUCGUGGGAACCUCUUGGGUGAGAAUUAAGAAAUCCUGCACCCUGCCUUCACUAAUGAUUUUACGCCUCAUGGUUUUCUGCACACAUGUUUUGCAGAACGAUUAGCUUCCUCCUAGGUCCAUGUCAGAAAUGGAUCCUGUAUUGGCUCACUUACAUGUGAAUUAUGGGAUUGGAGGGGGUAUACAAAUGGCCUUUUUGUGUGCCAAAUGCUGGUUGCAUGAGGCACAGUUUGAUCUGGGAUGAAAUGAUCGUCACCAUGUGGUUCGAUGAGUGGCGUGAGGGUGGAUUAAGCUUGCUAUUUCUGUUUUCUGUGCUCUUUGCAUAUAAUUUUAGCUCAACUGCAUGACACCAGAGCUCAAAGGCUGUAACUUUGUUAUUGGUUUUUAAUUUACUUAUUCGUUCUAUGGAGUACUGGUGGAUGUACUAUCGUUGGCAGGUAAUGUAGAUGUGUCUGUCGUCUAAUUGGAGACCAUGAUAAAUGAAGAGGCACAAAAAUGUGGAAAUUGACUGCUAUGCUUGCCUAACAUCAGUUACAUCUUGGAGAGUCUAGCACCUUGUGGGAGCAUUCAUGUAAUCAUGUUUACACUUUUUUUUGUCAAAAGGCACAACAUUCUUAUUUUGGAUUUUGAUUCGUCACAGGCUGUAUAUGGUUUAUGGUUUAUAGGGACACAAUGUUGAUGGGUUAGUGCAGGGUGAUUUUGGAAGUUUUGAAUUAGUGGUUGCAAUAGUUAUUGUGUUAUUGCUUAUCAGGGCAACUCCAACACGAAUCAGACUCGAUUAUAAGUUGAUUUAUAUUUUAAGUAGUUUUUUAUUUUGUCAAUUCACUGAUUCACUUGCUACCAUUGUCUUGCUUACGGAGUCAAUUGAAUCUGAAUGAACAAGUUCUAAAUUACUCGAAAGCUUUGUUGCACAGCACGACUAAUAGUUAAACGUGGUCACAAUAAUAUUUACUUGUAUAUCUGUCAUUCCGUUAUCUAGUAAUACUGAAAUAGUGUUAGUGGGGCUGUGGAGUAGCAGGAUUUUUUUUUUGUAUUUGUUUUUUUGCACUUUAGUAUUGCAGUAAGAAUACUUGUUUUCAGUAUUUAGUUAAUUCACUUUAUUUCAGUGCUAAUAUAUCAGCACUUUGCUUUUUUUUUUCCUGCAGCAAGCAUGUCUUGGAUUCUCCUGCUGCUCCACCUACUCGUACUGCUGCUUCAACCCAAGUGAACAUAAACACUGCAGAAAUAAUAUAUGACUGUCCUGCAUGUAACACUUUAUUAUCAUGGCUUUAGUGGACAUGUCUAUGAUUGUGAUUUACAGUGGUGUAUUUUGGCUGGCAAGUGCCAAGAUGUCUUUGUGGCAGGAUAUAUGAGAUAUUGUGCCUCAAGAGGUGGGUGAGGCGUGAGAGUUGUAAACACCUCUGCUGG
Molecule: RNA transcript, 3065 nt
Organism: Triticum dicoccoides
Lineage: Eukaryota; Viridiplantae; Streptophyta; Magnoliopsida; Poales; Poaceae
Exons: 3
Source: RefSeq, a predicted model, not a curated record